UCGAGAAUUUUUCACAAUGGGGGAAACCCUGAUGGAGCGACGCCGCGUGGAGGAUGAAGGUUUUCGGAUUGUAAACUCCUGUCAUGAGAGAACAAAACCCGCAAGGGCUUGAUAGUAUCUCAAGAGGAAGGGACGGCUAACUCUGUGCCAGCAGCCGCGGUAAUACAGAGGUCCCAAGCGUUGUUCGGAUUCACUGGGCGUAAAGGGUGCGUAGGUGGCGGGGCAAGUUGCGUGUUAAAUCUCAAGGCUCAACCUUGAAACCGCUCGCAAUACUGCUCUGCUGGAGGACUGUAGAGGAGACUGGAAUUCACGGUGUAGCAGUGAAAUGCGUAGAUAUCGUGAGGAAGACCAGUGGCGAAGGCGAGUCUCUGGGCAGUUCCUGACACUGAGGCACGAAGGCCAGGGGAGCAAACGGGAUUAGAUACCCCCGUAGUCC
Molecule: ribosomal RNA, 436 nt
Filed under: uncultured bacterium
Lineage: Bacteria
Description: bacterial SSU rRNA
Rfam family: Bacterial small subunit ribosomal RNA
Source: RNAcentral